This 90-nucleotide transfer RNA is filed under the name Cordylochernes scorpioides. RNAcentral describes it as "tRNA-Tyr". Lineage: Eukaryota; Metazoa; Arthropoda; Arachnida; Pseudoscorpiones; Chernetidae. The record is from RNAcentral.
ACCUCAUUGAUAUCUCAGUUGGCAGAGCGGAGGACUGUAGAUGUAUCAACGGUAAUCCUUAGGUCGCUGGUUCAAAUCUGACUUGAGGGA